UACGUAGGGGGCGAGCGUUGUCCGAAGUUACUGGGCGUAAAGAGCGCGUAGGCGGGUUCUUAAGUGAGGGGUGAAAGGUUUGGGCUCAACCCAAACACUGCCUUUCAUACUGGGAGCCUUGAGUGCGGGAGAGGCGAGUGGAAUGGUCGGUGUAGCGGUGAAAUGCGUAGAUAUCGAUCGGAACACCCAUGGCGAGGGCAGCUCGCUGGCCUGCAACUGACGCUGAGGCGCGAAAGCGUGGGGAGCAAACAGG
This 253-nucleotide ribosomal RNA is filed under the name uncultured bacterium. RNAcentral's name for it is "partial 16S ribosomal RNA". It matches the Rfam family "Bacterial small subunit ribosomal RNA", at positions 524 to 776 of the family's 1533-position model. The record is from RNAcentral.